Molecule: ribosomal RNA, 465 nt
Filed under: Vreelandella stevensii
Lineage: Bacteria; Pseudomonadati; Pseudomonadota; Gammaproteobacteria; Oceanospirillales; Halomonadaceae
Description: partial 16S ribosomal RNA
Rfam family: Bacterial small subunit ribosomal RNA
Source: RNAcentral
CCUACGGGUGGCAGCAGUGGGGAAUAUUGGACAAUGGGCGAAAGCCUGAUCCAGCCAUGCCGCGUGUGUGAAGAAGGCCUUCGGGUUGUAAAGCACUUUCAGUGGGGAAGAAAGCCUUGGGGCUAAUACCCUCGAGGAAGGACAUCACCCACAGAAGAAGCACCGGCUAACUCCGUGCCAGCAGCCGCGGUAAUACGGAGGGUGCGAGCGUUAAUCGGAAUUACUGGGCGUAAAGCGCGCGUAGGCGGUCUGAUAAGCCGGUUGUGAAAGCCCCGGGCUCAACCUGGGAACGGCAUCCGGAACUGUCAGGCUAGAGUGCAGGAGAGGAAGGUAGAAUUCCCGGUGUAGCGGUGAAAUGCGUAGAGAUCGGGAGGAAUAACAGUGGCGAAGGCGGCCUUCUGGACUGACACUGACGCUGAGGUGCGAAAGCGUGGGUAGCAAACAGGAUUAGAUACCCCAGUAGUC